RNAcentral lists this ribosomal RNA (492 nucleotides) under uncultured bacterium. RNAcentral's name for it is "partial 16S ribosomal RNA". It matches the Rfam family "Bacterial small subunit ribosomal RNA", at positions 29 to 507 of the family's 1533-position model. The record is from RNAcentral.
AGUGAACGCUGGCGGUAGGCCUAACACAUGCAAGUCGAACGGCAGCACAGUAAGAGCUUGCUCUUACGGGUGGCGAGUGGCGGACGGGUGAGGAAUACAUCGGAAUCUACUUUUUCGUGGGGGAUAACGUAGGGAAACUUACGCUAAUACCGCAUACGACCUACGGGUGAAAGCAGGGGAUCUUCGGACCUUGCGCGAUUGAAUGAGCCGAUGUCGGAUUAGCUAGUUGGCGGGGUAAAGGCGCACCACGGCGACGAUCCGUAGCUGGUCUGAGAGGAUGAUCAGCCACACUGGAACUGAGACACGGUCCAGACUCCUACGGGAGGCAGCAGUGGGGAAUAUUGGACAAUGGGCGCAAGCCUGAUCCAGCCAUACCGCGUGGGUGAAGAAGGCCUUCGGGUUGUAAAGCCCUUUUGUUGGGAAAGAAAAGCAGCAGGUUAAUACCCCGCUGUUCUGACGGUACCCAAAGAAUAAGCACCGGCUAACUUCGUG